CAUGGCCUUUAGCUGUGAUCUUGGAAAUCGACCAAUGUAAUCAUUAGACUGAGAAUUAAAGCUGUAUUUGACCACUUUGUGUGAUUUAUAUUUUUAAACAAUGUAGGAACUGUUAUGAUUAAGGAGGCAAUGUGGGUGUCUAGGACCUAGCUCCCUGUUACUUGUCAUCAUCCAAGUUGCUUUAUCGAAUCUCUUUAUUUCCUUGGUAUCAAAUAACAAAUAUUGGUAACACAUUAGAUUAGCUGAAUGAUAGUCUUUAAUAAACAUUUUCCUAAAAUGAAAAAUAUUACUAUAUCCAUUUCAUGUUGUCCUUUUUGUCCAGUAUGAAUGCAUUCUGUAAAAGCUCAUGUAUUUAAAUAUUUGUCUGCUUCUGUUUUUAGUCCCAAACUAAACUGGAAUUGUCAGGAACUCGUCAACAUAAAGACUAGGAUCAUAUUUUUGCUGCCUAUUUGAACACUUGCUCCAUGAUAUUUGAAUGCAACAGGAAUUACAAAAAAAAAAUACAAUUCCUGCAUGCUGUUCUACAGUGAUGUGUGAAUAUUCAUGAAUACUGAAUUGUUUUUCUGGAGGAAAUAUGUAAAAGCAUGAAAGUGAUCAUCAGCUGACCUCUGCUCCAAGCUGAAUUGUGCAGUUUAGGAAACAAUGGGGAAAAGAAAUUUAUUUCCAACUAGAAUUUGAUUGCAAAAUGAAUAGGAGGCUACUUCCUUGCACGUCUAGGAAAAACUUAACAUGCAUCAAGAAACAUCUAUUUUUAAAGCCCUAAAUAACCUUUUUAAGACUAAGACUCUGCUGUCAUUUUCCUGACCUGUAUAGAAUCAUGCUGAUCACAACUGGCUACUUGGGUAUUUCAGUUUCAGUGAAAAAAUUAAGGCAAUUAAAAAUAAAAAUUAAGGCAUUUUCUUCUUGCA
This 908-nucleotide long non-coding RNA is filed under the name Cyanistes caeruleus (blue tit). Its description in RNAcentral is "lncRNA (ENSCCEG00000000996.1)". Lineage: Eukaryota; Metazoa; Chordata; Aves; Passeriformes; Paridae. The record is from RNAcentral.